RNAcentral lists this ribosomal RNA (423 nucleotides) under uncultured bacterium. Its description in RNAcentral is "bacterial SSU rRNA". It matches the Rfam family "Bacterial small subunit ribosomal RNA", at positions 97 to 520 of the family's 1533-position model. The record is from RNAcentral.
GACGUACGGGUGCGUAACACGUAUGCAACCUACCCUUUACAGGCGGAUAGCUCGGGGAAACUCGGAUUAACCCGUCAUAAUAUAAUUGGAUGGCAUCAUUUGAUUAUUAAAUCUACGGAGGUAAAGGAUGGGCAUGCGUCUGAUUAGUUAGUUGGCGGUGUAACGGACCACCAAGACGAUGAUCAGUAGGGAACUGAGAGGUUGAUCCCCCACACUGGCACUGAGAUACGGGCCAGACUCAUACGGGAGGCAGCAGUAGGGAAUAUUGGUCAAUGGACGGAAGUCUGAACCAGCCAUGCCGCGUGCAGGAAGAAGGCCUUCUGGGUUGUAACCUGCUUUUGCCAGGGGCUAAAACGCCCAUGCGUGGGAAAUUGAAAGUACCUGGUGAAUAAGCCACGGCUAACUACGUGCCAGCCGUCGCGG